RNAcentral lists this ribosomal RNA (486 nucleotides) under uncultured bacterium. Its description in RNAcentral is "partial 16S ribosomal RNA". It matches the Rfam family "Bacterial small subunit ribosomal RNA", at positions 30 to 507 of the family's 1533-position model. The record is from RNAcentral.
AUUGAACGCUGGCGGCAUGCCUUACACAUGCAAGUCGAACGGCAGCACGGGUGCUUGCCCCUGGUGGCGAGUGGCGAACGGGUGAGUAAUACAUCGGAACAUGUCCUGUAGUGGGGGAUAGCCCGGCGAAAGCCGGAUUAAUACCGCAUACGAACUACGGAUGAAAGCGGGGGACCUUCGGGCCUCGCGCUUUCGGGUUGGCCGAUGGCUGAUUAGCUAGUUGGUGGGGUAAAGCCCUACCAAGGCGACGAUCAGUAGCUGGUCUGAGAGGACGACCAGCCACACUGGGACUGAGACACGGCCCAGACUCCUACGGGAGGCAGCAGUGGGGAAUUUUGGACAAUGGGCGAAAGCCUGAUCCAGCAAUGCCGCGUGUGUGAAGAAGGCCUUCGGGUUGUAAAGCACUUUUGUCCGGAAAGAAAUCCUUGGCCCUAAUACGGUCGGGGGAUGACGGUACCGGAAGAAUAAGCACCGGCUAACUACGUG